GCCUAGAUAGCUCAGUUGGUAGAGCAGCUCAUUAGUAACGAGCAGGUCGGGGGUUCGAAACCGUCUCUAGGCUCCA
RNAcentral lists this transfer RNA (76 nucleotides) under Vibrio alginolyticus. RNAcentral's name for it is "tRNA-Thr". It matches the Rfam family "tRNA". Rfam says of the family: Transfer RNA (tRNA) molecules are approximately 80 nucleotides in length. Their secondary structure includes four short double-helical elements and three loops (D, anti-codon, and T loops). The record is from RNAcentral. RNAcentral also lists the same sequence under 10 other names. Lineage: Bacteria; Pseudomonadati; Pseudomonadota; Gammaproteobacteria; Vibrionales; Vibrionaceae.